CUCCUGUGCCUGCUGAGGGCAGAUGAAGUGAAUGUGUGUGUCGAAGCCUCCCGCUGUGAUGAUUUUGUUUUCUCCCGCAAUCACAUCUGUUGAUGAACCGAUCACCAUGUUCGGAUGGACACCGUCCAUGACAUCCGGGUUUCCUGACUUGCCAAUACCGACAAUAAUGCCAUCUCUAAUACCAAUGUCUGCCUUGUAGAUACCGGACCAGUCAAUAAUAAUAGCGUUUGUGAUCACUGUAUCCAGACACUCUUUUGCAGACUUUCCUGCCGCCUGACCCAUGCCUUCGCGGAU
Non-coding RNA from Aspergillus sydowii CBS 593.65, 294 nucleotides. NCBI's taxonomy places the organism in Eukaryota, Fungi, Ascomycota, Eurotiomycetes, Eurotiales, Aspergillaceae. The record is from Rfam.